UUGUAGAGGAUGCUUCGGGCAAGGCUGCGGUCUAAUUCGCUUGGAACAGCGAGUCAUAGAGGGUGAGAAUCCCGUCUGGGACCGCGAGCCGCGCCCGUGUGAAGCUCCUUCGACGAGUCGAGUUGUUUGGGAAUGCAGCUCUAAAUGGGUGGUAAAUUUCAUCUAAAGCUAAAUAUGGGCCAGAGACCGAUAGCGCACAAGUAGAGUGAUCGAAAGAUGAAAAGCACUUUGAAAAGAGAGUUAAACAGUAUGUGAAAUUGUUGAAAGGGAAGCGCUUGCAAUCAGACAUGCGCAUGGCGGUUCCCCCGGUCUCCUGGCCGGGCUACUCCGUCAUGUCCAGGCCAACAUCGGUUCGGGCGGCCGGUGAAAGACCCCGGGAAUGUAUCUACCUCCGGGUCGACUUAUAGCCCGGGGUGCAAUGCGGCCCGCCCGGACCGAGGAACGCGCUUCGGCUCGGAUGUUGGCGUAAUGGUUGUAAGCGGCCCGUCUUGAAACACGGACCAAGGAGUCUAACAUCUAUGCGAGUGUUUGGGUGUCAAACCCCUACGCGUAAUGAAAGUGAACGGAGGUAAGAACCCCGUCCAGGGGCGCAUUAUCGACCGAUCCUGAAGUCUUCGGAUGGAUUUGAGUAAGAGCAUAGCUGUUGGGACCCGAAAGAUGGUGAACUAUGCCUGAAUAGGGUGAAGCCAGAGGAAACUCUGGUGGAGGCUCGCAGCGGUUCUGACGUGCAAAUCGAUCGUCAAAUUUGGGCAUAGGGGCGAAAGACUUAUCGAACCAUCUGGUAGCUGGUUCCUGUCGAAGUUUCCCUCAGGAUAGCAGUAACGUAUUCAGUUUUAUGAGGUAAAGCGAAUGAUUAGAGGCCUUGGGGUUGAAACAACCUUAACCUAUUCUCAAACUUUAAAUAUGUAAGAAGUCCUUGUUGCUUAAUUGAACGUGGACAUUUGAAUGUAUCGUUACUAGUGGGCCAUUUUUGGUAAGCAGAACUGGCGAUGCGGGAUGAACCGAACGCGAGGUUAAGGUGCCGGAAUGCACGCUCAUCAGACACCACAAAAGGUGUCAAUGCAUCCAGACAGCCGGACGGUGGCCAUGGAAGUCGGAAUCCGCUUAGGAGUGUGUAGUUUGUUGCACGCGCAGAGUCCCCUCUCCGGGACUAGUCGGGGCGGCCAGACCCCCCGAUGACAGCUCUCCCCAACCGGGACCCCCGUCCGGGAUGACCGGUUGUAGACCUGCCCGCAGGUCUACCCACAGACUAAAAGGAGCUGGCCGUGGCGGCCGCCGCCGCGGUUGAGAGAUAGUCGAUCGAGGCCCCUCCACUGGGGGCCGUCCCACGAGAACAACUCACCGGCCGAAUGCAUUGGCCCUGAAAAUGGAUGGCGCUUAAGCGUGCUACCUAUACCUCGCCGUUAGGGUUGAAAUGAUGCCCUAACGAGUAGGCAGGCGUGGGGGUUUGUGACGAAGCGUUGG
This 1464-nucleotide ribosomal RNA is filed under the name Staurothele sp. RNAcentral's name for it is "partial large subunit ribosomal RNA". It matches the Rfam family "Eukaryotic large subunit ribosomal RNA", at positions 150 to 1414 of the family's 3401-position model. The record is from RNAcentral. Lineage: Eukaryota; Fungi; Ascomycota; Eurotiomycetes; Verrucariales; Verrucariaceae.